RNAcentral lists this ribosomal RNA (514 nucleotides) under Centruroides exilimanus. Its description in RNAcentral is "partial large subunit ribosomal RNA". It matches the Rfam family "Eukaryotic large subunit ribosomal RNA", at positions 666 to 1138 of the family's 3401-position model. Lineage: Eukaryota; Metazoa; Arthropoda; Arachnida; Scorpiones; Buthidae. The record is from RNAcentral.
CCAAGGAGUCUAACAUGUGCGCGAGUCAUUGGGUCUUGUUCAGGCCCAGAGGCGCAAUGAAAGUGAAGGACGCCCCAGUCGGUGUCUGCGUUGGGAUCCCGGGGCCGCGAGCCCCGGGCGCACCAACGGCCCGUCCCGUCCGCCACGUCGGUGGGACGGAGCGAGAGCGUACACGUUGGGACCCGAAAGAUGGUGAACUAUGCCUGGGCAGGACGAGGCCAGAGGAAACUCUGGUGGAGGUCCGCAGCGAUUCUGACGUGCAAAUCGAUCGUCAGACCUUGGUAUAGGGGCGAAAGACUAAUCGAACCGUCUAGUAGCUGGUUCCCUCCGAAGUUUCCCUCAGGAUAGCUGGUGCUCGAUCGGAAUCAGUCUCAUCCGGUAAAGCGAAUGAUUAGAGGCCUUGGGGCCGAAACGACCUCAACCUAUUCUCAAACUUUCAAUGGGUGAGAAGUCCGGUUUACCCGACUGAAGCCCGGACGAUUCUCAGGAUGUGAGUGCCCAGUGGGCCACUUUU